Molecule: ribosomal RNA, 253 nt
Filed under: uncultured bacterium
Lineage: Bacteria
Description: partial 16S ribosomal RNA
Rfam family: Bacterial small subunit ribosomal RNA
Source: RNAcentral
UACGUAGGUGGCGAGCGUUACUCGGAUUUACUAGGCGUAAAGCGUGUGUAGGCGGGAGCUUAAGUUCGUUGUUAAAUUCCAGAGCUCAACUCUGGACUGUCGACGAAUACUGGGCUUCUUGAGUAAGGUAGGGGAAACUGGAAUUCCAGGUGUAGCGGUGAAAUGCGUAGAUAUCUGGAAGAACGCCAAAGGCGAAGGCAGGUUUCUGGGCCUUUACUGACGCUGAGACACGAAAGCUAGGGGAGCAAACAGG